Molecule: ribosomal RNA, 465 nt
Filed under: uncultured Klebsiella sp.
Lineage: Bacteria; Pseudomonadati; Pseudomonadota; Gammaproteobacteria; Enterobacterales; Enterobacteriaceae
Description: bacterial SSU rRNA
Rfam family: Bacterial small subunit ribosomal RNA
Source: RNAcentral
CCUACGGGUGGCUGCAGUGGGGAAUAUUGCACAAUGGGCGCAAGCCUGAUGCAGCCAUGCCGCGUGUGUGAAGAAGGCCUUCGGGUUGUAAAGCACUUUCAGCGGGGAGGAAGGCGUUAAGGUUAAUAACCUUGGCGAUUGACGUUACCCGCAGAAGAAGCACCGGCUAACUCCGUGCCAGCAGCCGCGGUAAUACGGAGGGUGCAAGCGUUAAUCGGAAUUACUGGGCGUAAAGCGCACGCAGGCGGCCUGUCAAGUCGGAUGUGAAAUCCCCGGGCUCAACCUGGGAACUGCAUUCGAAACUGGCAGGCUAGAGUCUUGUAGAGGGGGGUAGAAUUCCAGGCGUAGCGGUGAAAUGCGUAGAGAUCUGGAGGAAUACCGGUGGCGAAGGCGGCCCCCUGGACAAAGACUGACGCUCAGGUGCGAAAGCGUGGGGAGCAAACAGGAUUAGAUACCCUAGUAGUC